Molecule: ribosomal RNA, 318 nt
Filed under: Triticum aestivum (bread wheat)
Lineage: Eukaryota; Viridiplantae; Streptophyta; Magnoliopsida; Poales; Poaceae
Description: partial small subunit ribosomal RNA
Source: RNAcentral
AUGACGACGGUAGAGGUACUCAAAAUCUUGGCGGCGGUAGUCGUUCACGUUCGUUUCGGAGAGGUACUUGAUGACUCCAACGUCUUCGGGGCGACAAUAGUUGUACACGGUCCACGAUACGUCGAUCGUUCAGCGUCCGAUUGCGGGUCUUGCCGACAUGAAGGGGUACUUGGCGUUUUUGUAAAGGUACUCUCGAUCUUGCCGGUGUGGACUUGUUUACAGGAGGAGGUCUUUACGAUCUUGACGAAUCCGAGUGGCUCUAGGCACACGUCCACAGUGGUCUUCCAUCUUCUUCUUUCCUGUACAAGGCUUGACUGA